This is a long non-coding RNA of Drosophila persimilis, 537 nucleotides long. RefSeq lists it as uncharacterized. The record is from RefSeq and is a predicted model, not a curated record. The transcript has 2 exons. Lineage: Eukaryota; Metazoa; Arthropoda; Insecta; Diptera; Drosophilidae.
CUAAAGUCAACCAGGACUACUCGGACUAAUCGGAUAUUUUGUAUACAUCUGACACUCGAAUGACUAUUCGUUACAUGAGCUUAUAUUCUUACCAGUGAAAUAAUCCAAACUUCUUCAUUCCGAUUGAUAGUUCCUAUUCCGUGGCUGUAUGCGUAAAUAUCACUACACUCUAAAAAGCUAACCGGAAGGUGGAACAUCUGACAGUAUUAUUCAUCUGACACAAUGACAAUGAUGAUGCAGUAUACAAUGUGGUUACCAUUGAAAUAACCCAAACUUCCUCAAAUGAUGACGUGUACACAACAAAUAUUUCCAAAAUUUCAAAUCGAUAACGAUAUGGCACGGAAAAUAUGACAGGAUCAACGCAAUGGAUUGAUACUUCUUUUAAGCGAAGCGGAAAGAGAGUGUGCACAUUAUAAUGGGUUCUUAUGACAGGAUGAUCUGAGUCCAGCUUUGACGAACGCUUCGACUAGAUUUUCAUCCAUCGAGAAUCGUUGCCUUAUUUGUUCUCUACUUUUGGCAAUAAACAUUAAGACACUA